Molecule: long non-coding RNA, 494 nt
Organism: Phyllostomus hastatus (greater spear-nosed bat)
Lineage: Eukaryota; Metazoa; Chordata; Mammalia; Chiroptera; Phyllostomidae
Exons: 2
Source: RefSeq, a predicted model, not a curated record
CCACUUUAUUCCUAAAACACCAGCCCCAGGCUGGGCCACUGGAUGGGUGACGCCAUGCAGCACCGGGUCUCUCUCCCAUUUCUCCUGCUUCUCACCUUCGGCCAAGAGCUCCAGUCUGACAUAGGAAAAGGCCGGAAUAGACACACUGUCUCCCCAAAGGUCUGCAGGCUUCAUGUGGAGAGGGGCCCUUGUCGAGCUCGAAUCCAACGAUGGUUUUACAACUCCAAUACUUCUGAAUGUGAGGUGUUUUUCUACGGAGGCUGCCAAGGCAAUGGGAACAACUUUUUGAAGAAAGAAACGUGCAAGGAAGCCUGCCAGUACACCCGGUUUCUUAAGAAAAGACUAGCCCUCCCCGGGGUCGGGGUUGCUCUCAGACAACUAUAGACAUUUGUGUGAACAAGAGAUGCAUUUCUCCACCCCAGGCUUAUUCUCCCUGCUGUGUUCUUAACAUCACUCAUCUCUGUGCUUGAAAUUCUAUAAAUAUUGCCAACGUG